Molecule: ribosomal RNA, 472 nt
Filed under: uncultured bacterium
Lineage: Bacteria
Description: bacterial SSU rRNA
Rfam family: Bacterial small subunit ribosomal RNA
Source: RNAcentral
UGGGGAAUUUUGGACAAUGGGGGCAACCCUGAUCCAGCAAUGCCGCGUGAGUGAAGAAGGCCUUCGGGUUGUAAAGCUCUUUUGUCAGGGAAGAAACGGUAGUAGCGAAUAACUAUUACUAAUGACGGUACCUGAAGAAUAAGCACCGGCUAACUACGUGCCAGCAGCCGCGGUAAUACGUAGGGUGCAAGCGUUAAUCGGAAUUACUGGGCGUAAAGCGUGCGCAGGCGGUUGUGUAAGUCAGAUGUGAAAUCCCCGGGCUCAACCUGGGAAUUGCAUUUGAGACUGCACGGCUAGAGUGUGCCAGAGGGGGGUAGAAUUCCACGUGUAGCAGUGAAAUGCGUAGAUAUGUGGAGGAAUACCGAUGGCGAAGGCAGCCCCCUGGGAUAACACUGACGCUCAUGCACGAUAGCGUGGGGAGCAAACAGGAUUAGAUACCCUAGUAGUCCCUGAGCGGGCUGGCAAGGCGCAU